GCCUGAACAGAUACCCACGCAAGUCUCCCUUUCUCUCUCUAAUUUCAAAGUAUACAUUCAAAAGCUCCUGUGUCCCUCGAUUUUAACCUUCACUUUCUCCCUCUGAAAAUUUUCUCUUUCACUUUCUUAGGGUUUCUACUGGAGAGCUCUCGGCUUAGAUUCAGUUGGAAAUUAAUGGGUAUUUUUUUUUUCAUUUAUUACUUUAUUUUUUAUCUGUCAAAUUCUUUUUUUUUUUCUGCUUUUCCUGCUUUGUGUACUAUCUAAUCCUCUGUUUGGUUGUUGAGAAAAGUUGAGAAGAAAGUGAAAUUAUCUAUGGUUAUUAAGAUAUCGGAUGUGUCCUUAAGCUAAGAUAAAAUUUGCUUUCUUUUUCUUGCAAAUUUGCUUUCUUUUUCUUGUUCUUUCUUAGAUACCAAGCAGUGGAUAGGGUUUUUAAUUCAUAAAAUAAGUCCAAUUGUUGAUUUUGGUCACUUGCAUGAUUUUAUUUUCUUUGUUUCAAGUAGUGAUGAUGUUUGAUUCUUAACGAGUUAGUGAUAAAAAAAUUGUAAGACAAUUAUGAUUAAAAGAGUAAAUCUUAGCUCUUUUAAUGUUUAGGAUUCCAUGGUGGAAGACCUUACAAUCCUUAAGGUGUAAGUGAUCUGAUAGAAUAAAAGAUAACACAUGACUUGAAUGUAAAAGAAAAAAGGGUACUCCUUGCGAGUUUGUAGUUUUAGUCUUUGCUGUUAGGUGCAUACAUCUGAAAAUAAUAUUCCUUGGUCCAUUUUUCAUGGGUUGUAACUUUAAAUUUUCUGGCUUCUUUUCUUCUUCUUCUUCUUCU
Molecule: unclassified non-coding RNA, 814 nt
Filed under: Hevea brasiliensis (rubber tree)
Lineage: Eukaryota; Viridiplantae; Streptophyta; Magnoliopsida; Malpighiales; Euphorbiaceae
Source: RNAcentral